Molecule: ribosomal RNA, 374 nt
Filed under: uncultured organism
Description: partial 16S ribosomal RNA
Rfam family: Bacterial small subunit ribosomal RNA
Source: RNAcentral
GUAGGUGGCAAGCGUUGUCCGGGAAUUAUUGGGGCGUAAAGCGCGCGCAGGCGGUUCUUUAAGUCUGAUGUGAAAGCCCACGGGCUCAACCGUGGAGGGUCAUUGGAAACUGGAGAACUUGAGUACAGAAGAGGAAAGCGGAAUUCCACGUGUAGCGGUGAAAUGCGUAGAGAUGUGGAGGAACACCAGUGGCGAAGGCGGCUUUCUGGUCUGUAACUGACGCUGAGGCGCGAAAGCGUGGAGCAAACAGGAUUAGAUACCCUGGUAGUCCACGCCGUAAACGAUGAGUGCUAAGUGUUAGGGGGUUUCCGCCCCUUAGUGCUGCAGCUAACGCAUUAAGCACUCCGCCUGGGGAGUACGGCCGCAAAGGCUGA